RNAcentral lists this long non-coding RNA (1672 nucleotides) under Homo sapiens (human). RNAcentral's name for it is "HSALNT0327198". The record is from RNAcentral. Lineage: Eukaryota; Metazoa; Chordata; Mammalia; Primates; Hominidae.
UUGAAUGAUCCAGUGGGCACUCUGUAUUCCUUCAUAAACUGUGUGGUGAAUGUGCGUGUGUGUAUGUAUGUAUAUGCACGUGUUUAUGUGUUUUCUGGGGUUAAUUUCCUUAAAAUAAAAAGGCAACUGUCAAGACUAAAGCUAUAAUAAUUUUUAUGAAUCUUAGAAAAUGUUGAAUUUUUAGUGAUUCCAGAAAUUGAUCUCUAUCGAUGAAACUGCUUUCUCAAAUACGUCAGCAAUGGGAUUCAGGCUUUGCUUACAAUGUGAAGGAAGUUCUUAGUCUCAUUUGCACAAAGAAGGAAGGAGGGCUAAAGAUAAAAAGAACUCAUAGUCUUUUCCAUAGUUUUGGGUCAUGUUCACUGUAAAAAAAAAUCACAAGAUGCCAUUUUUACACAGCCUUUUUAAUCUACACAUACGGCAAGCUAAUAAUUCCAAAAAAAUAAUUUCUUUCCUUUGUAGCCAUUUAAAACUAACAGCUAGAAAUAUUUCUUCUUCCAAUUAUUAAAAAUAAGCUGUUUCUGAGUCGGUGCUGACUACAUUUACUGAUUGAAGCAGCCAACUCCAAAUAUACCAUCUUUUAGUAUUGACACUUAAAAUAAAACUUCUCCCCAGAAAAAGAGUUCUAUAAAUGAUGGCUGUAGAAAUAGGCACUGUCCAGGCAGUUGUUUUGUGGAAGUAGUGUUGUUAUUUUCUGGUGUUUUCCAAGUCAUCUCAGAUGGUGCGUGAAAAUGAGAUGCCAAAGAAGGCUUAAAAAAGAUACCCUGCACCAGCUUCAGAAUGUAAGCAAAUCUUUCAUUCCAGCGCUUAAAAGUUUUGAGAAAGCUAAUCUAAAGUUAAAUGUUUACUAGCAUCUCUCCGAUUAUAUUUUAGAAACUACUGCACAAAAAUAAAACAAAUUUCUUAUUUUCUCUGGGUUGAAAAGUGCACAUAAAAUGGAAAAUGCUUUUUAUACCACUAUUUCCAGCAGGGAUUUUAUUUUCAUUUGUCAUUUGCCAGCCUGGGGUAUGUUGGGAGAAGGAACAAUUGAUUUUUGAAAAGGUGCAUUUGUGUGAAAACCAAAAAUUGUGUUCAACAAAUACUACUACUAACCCAUAUGUGGAUAUAUGUGUUUUAUACAUGAGUAAAAAAAAAAAAAAAAACAUACAUAUAUGUAUGGCAUAUAUAUAUAUAUAUAUAUAUAUAUAUAUGCUAUAGAAAUGCCAUCAAGUUACCAGUUUACUUCUAAAUGUAACUGCUUAAUAUAAAAUAUGCAUCUUUUUGUAGUACCUAAUUCUUGCAAUUCAGUGUAUUUCCUGGCGAGAGGCAGAGAUGAACAACCCUGGACAGUUACCACAUAUGGCUCUUAUGAGACAAAAUGACCUACGAAUCAAGCAUUUUGUUCCACGGUCUCUACUGUUAGCUGUAUGUCUCAGAAACAGCUUCUUUCUCAAGAGAGAACAAGAGGGAUAAUGCUGGAUCUAAAGGCAUCAUCUGAAGAAGACAAAGAUAUCAACAAUCGCAACUAUUUGGCUUUCUGUCCAUCACUGAGACUUUUCAUAAUCUUCCCUUCAUAAAUAGGAUCUCUUGAUCAGAACAGAAAAGUUGAGUCUUAAAUUUCCUGUAUUUAUUUCUGACUGAUACUGAGGGAAGUGCAAAUUUGGUUGCUAUGAUUAAACUCCUUGAUUGUUCUUAA